GUGAAAUUGAACUCGCUGUGAAGAUGCAGUGUACCCGCGGCAAGACGGAAAGACCCCGUGAACCUUUACUAUAGCUUGACACUGAACAUUGAGCCUUGAUGUGUAGGAUAGGUGGGAGGCUUUGAAGCGUGGACGCCAGUCUGCGUGGAGCCGACCUUGAAAUACCACCCUUUAAUGUUUGAUGUUCUAACGUGGACCCGUGAUCCGGGUUGCGGACAGUGUCUGGUGGGUAGUUUGACUGGGGCGGUCUCCUCCUAAAGAGUAACGGAGGAGCACGAAGGUUGGCUAAUCCUGGUCGGACAUCAGGAGGUUAGUGCAAUGGCAUAAGC
Molecule: ribosomal RNA, 329 nt
Filed under: Salmonella enterica subsp. enterica serovar Infantis
Lineage: Bacteria; Pseudomonadati; Pseudomonadota; Gammaproteobacteria; Enterobacterales; Enterobacteriaceae
Also listed under: 7 other names
Description: bacterial LSU rRNA
Rfam family: Bacterial large subunit ribosomal RNA
Source: RNAcentral